AUGUCUAAAUGUAAACAGCGAAUUCAAGAUUUCAGUAAAAUGUCACAAGUACAAAUUCAUACUUCAGUAGUCAUUGACCUGAAGACUUUUUUUAAAAGGCUUCCUUGCAAGCUAUCUAAUCCACGCAUUGAAAAAAAUUCAGGCAAGAUACCCAUUUUUUACUGCCAAUGCCCUACCAAAAUUCACUUACCUAAUUUUCUUUUCCAGGAAAGAUAUAUCCAUUUUCCACAACCAGUUUAUGAAACGGCCACUGCCGUACCAAGUGCUGAACAUAUUGUCCUUUGUAUUAUAACAGAAUAG
RNAcentral lists this ribosomal RNA (300 nucleotides) under Triticum aestivum (bread wheat). RNAcentral describes it as "partial small subunit ribosomal RNA". Lineage: Eukaryota; Viridiplantae; Streptophyta; Magnoliopsida; Poales; Poaceae. The record is from RNAcentral.